GAUGCAACUUGGGAACCUUGGUUCUUCUCCCCCUUGCAUUUCACUGUGCCAAAUCACCUCUGAUUCCAUCCCAAUCUUGCACUGAACCCAACACGUUCCCACGACCCAACCACUCCUCUGCUCUUCGCUCUCUAAUUAUCUUCCCAUUCUGCUGACCCCAGCAGCCGAGUGGCAGUGCUUCAGAAGCACCACUCCACGCCUCCCAGAAGUUGGAAUCAUAGAACAGUUUGAGCUGGAAGGGUCCUUUAAAGGUCAGCUGCCCUGCAGUGAGCAGGGACACCCACAGCUCCAUCAGGUGCUCAGAGCCUCAGGGCCUCUUUCUUGUUCCAGAAUCCUCCUCCCCCUUAGCAAACAAUCCUUGGGGCAGAACACAGCUCCCCUUCAGCACCGUUAUUUUAAUUCUGGGUGAAAACACACAGAAAAAGCUGAGAUCUUCUGUUGAAAGGAGGACCCAACAUGUAAAAUGCAUUAGAAUGAGAACUUUAAGAGCAAUAUGGCACAUAUAAAUAUAUUUAAAAAUGAUGAAAAUACUGGCACUUCCACAAAAAAAUAAUGGGAGAAGGGCAGAACCACCAUCACACAACAGGAAAGAAGUGCCCUCUUCCACAGCUGAAGUCAGUGAGCCACUGAUUGCCUACAGGAGACAGGAGGGCCUGGCAACUCUACAAGGCUGGAGAUGAUCUGUGGAUGUGGACCCAACUGCGUGCACUGAGCUGCACCCUGAGCUGGAAGCUGGAGCAUGGUGACGUGUGGCAUACAUCAGUGAAUGGGAUGGAGGUGAGCGUGGAGCCGAUGGAAGGAUGGGUCAACCCCAUUGGAAAUGGUGGCACGUCCAUCAGUGGCCAUCGGGUAGGGUAGGACAAGCAUCCAUUUCUGCUCCUGUCUCCAUCUGUGCCAACCCCAGGUGCUCCCCAGUCCCUUUUCCUCAGGUUUAUGGCAUCCACUCUGCCUUGGCUGCAUAACGACUUGUGGGGACGCUUCCUAGGUCACUCCAGAUGUCAGCCAAGUGAUGUGCAAGCUCAGACUUCCCCUCGUUGAUGAGUUAAUCCUGCCUGCCUGCUUGAUGAAGGUUGAAAGCUCUCACGUGGCACCUUGUUCUGUUGUGUCAGUGGCAGAAAUGGAGCAACCUUCCUUGGGAGCUGCCUCCUGGCUGGAUGCGAGCAGCACUGCUCAGCUGCA
Molecule: long non-coding RNA, 1179 nt
Filed under: Phasianus colchicus (ring-necked pheasant)
Lineage: Eukaryota; Metazoa; Chordata; Aves; Galliformes; Phasianidae
Description: lncRNA (ENSPCLG00000006550.1)
Source: RNAcentral